RNAcentral lists this ribosomal RNA (466 nucleotides) under uncultured Acidovorax sp. RNAcentral's name for it is "bacterial SSU rRNA". It matches the Rfam family "Bacterial small subunit ribosomal RNA", at positions 917 to 1381 of the family's 1533-position model. The record is from RNAcentral. Lineage: Bacteria; Pseudomonadati; Pseudomonadota; Betaproteobacteria; Burkholderiales; Comamonadaceae.
GACGGGACCGCACAAGCGGUGGAUGAUGUGGUUUAAUUCGAUGCAACGCGAAAACCUUACCACCUUUGACAUGUACGGAACCCUUUAGAGAUAGAGGGGUGCUCGAAAGAGAGCCGUAACACAGGUGCUGCAUGGCUGUCGUCAGCUCGUGUCGUGAGAUGUUGGGUUAAGUCCCGCAACGAGCGCAACCCUUGUCAUUAGUUGCUACAUUCAGUUGGGCACUCUAAUGAGACUGCCGGUGACAAACCGGAGGAAGGUGGGGAUGACGUCAAGUCCUCAUGGCCCUUAUAGGUGGGGCUACACACGUCAUACAAUGGAUGGUACAAAGGGUCGCCAACCCGCGAGGGGGAGCCAAUCCCAUAAAGCCAUUCGUAGUCCGGAUCGCAGUCUGCAACUCGACUGCGUGAAGUCGGAAUCGCUAGUAAUCGUGGAUCAGAAUGUCACGGUGAAUACGUUCCCGGGUCUU